This 205-nucleotide ribosomal RNA is filed under the name Mozena lurida. Its description in RNAcentral is "partial large subunit ribosomal RNA". The stretch from base 1 to 107 matches the Rfam family "Bacterial large subunit ribosomal RNA", at positions 2538 to 2645 of the family's 2925-position model. Lineage: Eukaryota; Metazoa; Arthropoda; Insecta; Hemiptera; Coreidae. The record is from RNAcentral.
UAAAGAUAAUUUAGGAUGCAGCAGUUCUAUAAUUGAGUCUGUUCGACUCUUGAAUCUUUACAUGAUCUGAGUUCAGGCCGGCGUGAGCCAGGUUGGUUUCUAUCUGCAAUUUAAUUUUAUAAUUUAGUACGAAAGGACCUAUUAUAAGUAAUAAUUAUUUAGUUUUGAAUUCUAUUAAACUAUUUUGGCAGAUUAGUGCGAUAAA